Long non-coding RNA from Amphiprion ocellaris (clown anemonefish), 1924 nucleotides. The record is from Ensembl. NCBI's taxonomy places the organism in Eukaryota, Metazoa, Chordata, Actinopteri, Pomacentridae.
GAGACGCAGAAUUUUUUUUGGAGACAAGAAAAGUAGCUGUGCGCCUCAAAAUACACGCAGUUUACUGCACUUAGUUACACAUGCUACAUAGGAAACUGUUAUAGAAUACAAAAUGAAUCAGAGAUGUACUCAAAGGACAGAACAGUCUGUGGUCAAAGCCCUGGACUCUUCUUCAUAUCACACAAAUCUGUCCUGAUGAAAGAGAGAACAGUAAGCAGGUCUAAGCAGGCCCAGUGAGCCCAGCAACUUCAAAAGACAUUGAGCCUCAUUAAUCCACCAUCAAUGCCAAGAAAUCACUUUUUUUUUUGCAGUUCAUUGUUCAUCACACAACCAUACAGUGCAAGCUUACACCACAAAGAAAGUUGGCUUGUUAGAUUCAAAGCAUAACAGGCACUAAAGCUUGACAUGACACCUUUCCUUAUUAGUUGUGAAGCAAAGUGCAAUACUGGGCCGUGUUAGGGUCAGUGCAAUCUUGGAUUAUUAUUAUUAUUAUUAUUAUUAUUAAUAAGGAGGGUUUAAAUUCUACAGACACGUCAGCAACAGUCAUUCUACAAAGCAGCUCCUUAAAUGAUCAAAAAAACUGGCAUAUAAUAAAAGUUAAACAGUUUCCUAUCCAUUACAGACUGAGAAUACAGUACUAGAAAAGUUAGCCACUUAAAUGCAUUUUAUUCUGUGCUCUUAUACUGUUAAUCAACAGGUAAAUGACAUUUAUAAUUUAGUAAAAUAUCAUUUGCAUAAGGCAUAAAAUCAGUGAAGCUGAUAAAACAUCUUAAUGCUCUAAACUAAAAUAAUCCAAGAAUGGAAAAAAAAAAAAAAAAGCAUCAUCACAUGCUCUGGCUUCUCACAGGACAAAUACUGCGUAGACAAUUGCAACCACAGAGCUCGCAAAAGCUUUACAACCAGAAUUGAUGUCUUGUUUGUGCCUGUCAAUGACCAGGGCUUUGUGGUGCUGAGGGUGGAGCACGAUGCUCUCAAAAGAAAUACUAAACCUCAAUUCAGAUGUAAGCUGUGAGAAUUUGCUGUGUUGCUUGACGGUGUCGUUCAGGAUGUGGCUGUGUAACAGUGUGGACACUAGACGCUCGUGCUAACGGGAAAAUGAGAACACAAUAGGAUGCACAGACUGCAAACAUCGUAAAAUCAUCCAUAGAAAACCCUGUGCUACUAAAUCAUUCCUCUUCAAAUAAAAACCACGUGCUCUCAAGAAAAAGCAAACCUCAGGAUGUGAGAAAAAUAACAAUCCAACAAUAAUAAUGAAAAAUACAGUGCAAUACAUUUCAACACCCUUUGAUAAAAAAUAAAACUUCAUUCCAUAUUUAUGAGGAAAAAUCCCAUAAACGCAGCAAAGCAGAAAAUAAAUUACCAUUAUAUUUACAUCGUAUAAUAUACAGUAUACUGCUGUGUAACUUUAAGUUAGUGUUCACAUUAUCACCAAGUAACACAUUUUUCCAGAUCCUCCGGGAUUUAGAGUCUCUCCAUUUGGUGAUGAAGCAGCAGAACAGUUCCUCCGAGCACUUCACGUGCAUCCAGCGCUUUGCGGCAUGUGAACGAGACGCACACCAACAUCUUCAUGGGAAUUCAGCUCCUUGGACUGUCCAUGGGGAAACCACAACACUGUGCUUGCAGAAAUAUUCGUACACAGUCGACAACACUCAAGGGUGUACGCAGUGCCACAUAGCUGUAGAAGCACAGAUAAACGACGGGGCUUUUUUUUGCUGACAUGUUUUGAAUUCUCCGUCACAUAAGAGGAUAUAUUUGUUCAUGAUCCUUAUUGGAAAUGUAGACAAACAGCUACUUGACACAGUAUGGCCGUGCAACAAAAGUUUGCAGUCCGCUUCUGGGUGAUCAAGUUAAAUGUGGCUUCCUCCCAUUACAGGUGUGAUGGUGCUGUGUUGGCAUGUAACGGGCAGGAGGACGCUGAAUUGGA